Molecule: long non-coding RNA, 1153 nt
Organism: Symphalangus syndactylus (siamang)
Lineage: Eukaryota; Metazoa; Chordata; Mammalia; Primates; Hylobatidae
Source: RefSeq, a predicted model, not a curated record
CGCCGACCCGGACCACAGCUCCCAGCACGCCCCACGGGCCCACGCCAGCCAGGACUACAAUUCCCGGCGUCCUCCGGAAGCUCAAGUGUACCGAGGCGCGGUGCCUGCUGGGAAUUGUAGUUGACGUUGGUCAGCACGCAGGCCGCAGGAUCCCAGCCCGGCCUUUGUGGGACUGAGGUGGCGCUGAGUGGGAGAGCAGCAGGGGAUGCGCGAAAGGAGGGACGUGGAGAUAAAUACUGAGCACCCACAACGGGCAGCUAGCACCACUGCAGACUGGAUACUGCAAUGAUGAUAAGCACGGCCUGCCUUUAUGGAGAUGGAGUUUCCCUCUUUCGUCCAGGCUGGGAUGAAAUGGUGCAAUCUCGGCUCAUUGGAAGCUCUGCCCCCCGGAUUCAAGUGCUUCUCCUGCUUCAGCCUCCUGAGUAGCUGGGAUUAUAGGCACCUGCCACCAUGCCAGGAUAAUUUUUGUAUGUUUAGUAGAGAUAGGGUUUCACCAUGUUGGCCAGGCUGGUCUCGAAUUCCUGAACUCAGGUGAUCUACCCUCCUUGGCCUCCCAAAGUGCUAGGAUUACAGGCAUGAGCCACUGCGCCCAGCCCAGCCUCUUCUUGAACUUCAUGCAAAAUUAUGUGCCCUGUUAUAGUCUGAGGCCUCAGCUCCAUGCUAUCAGGCUUCAAAGACAGCAGCCACAGGAUACCUCUAUGAGGACUAUGUGAGAACAAAGUGAGAUGUCAAUGGGUGAGUGCUCUAAAGAGAGAAAAAUUGAUCAUUCCAGCUGUACUGAAUUUGAGUCCUAACAGAGACUCCCAGGAAGAAGGGCAGAUGUGGGGCCUUUUGUUCCUUCCCACAGAGGCAAGAGUACUGAACAGACUCUUUGGGCCCUGAUUUGCCCAUUACCCACACCUUCCUCCCCAUCUUAUUCCUAAGCUGAGAAUGGCAAGUAUGACGGUAGAGUCUGUCAGAUCUAGGAUCAAAUCUUCACCACUCUCUACUGUGAUUCUGGGCUGCUCACCUCCCUUGGGGUCUGUUUCCUAUCUAUAAAAUGGAACCUCCUGUGAAAAGCUUUUUGCUCAUUCAUUAAUUUAAGGAAUGAAUUACACUUAACAAAGUUUUGGAUUUUAUUAAUAAAAUGUAUGGACAUGUGUUUUUCUCGUUA